GACAGAGGGUGCAAACGUUGCUCGGAAUUACUGGGCGUAAAGCGCGUGUAGGCGGACCGGAAAGUCGGGCGUGAAAUCCCUGGGCUCAACCCAGGAACUGCACUCGAAACUUCCGGCCUUGAGUGGUGGAGAGGGUAGUGGAAUUCCUGGUGUAGAGGUGAAAUUCGUAGAUAUCAGGAGGAACACCGGUGGCGAAGGCGGCUACCUGGACACUAACUGACGCUGAGACGCGAAAGCGUGGGGAGCAAACAGG
Molecule: ribosomal RNA, 253 nt
Filed under: uncultured bacterium
Lineage: Bacteria
Description: partial 16S ribosomal RNA
Rfam family: Bacterial small subunit ribosomal RNA
Source: RNAcentral